RNAcentral lists this ribosomal RNA (146 nucleotides) under Armillaria mellea. Its description in RNAcentral is "partial large subunit ribosomal RNA". It matches the Rfam family "Eukaryotic large subunit ribosomal RNA", at positions 1 to 143 of the family's 3401-position model. The record is from RNAcentral. Lineage: Eukaryota; Fungi; Basidiomycota; Agaricomycetes; Agaricales; Physalacriaceae.
UUGACCUCAAAUCAGGUAGGAUUACCCGCUGAACUUAAGCAUAUCAAUAAGUGGAGGAAAAGAAACUAACAAGGAUUCCCCUAGUAACUGCGAGUGAAGAGGGAAAAGCUCAAAUUUAAAAUCUGGCAGCGGUUUGCUGUCCGAGU